Long non-coding RNA from Pleuronectes platessa (European plaice), 1395 nucleotides. RefSeq lists it as uncharacterized. The transcript has 3 exons. Lineage: Eukaryota; Metazoa; Chordata; Actinopteri; Pleuronectiformes; Pleuronectidae. The record is from RefSeq and is a predicted model, not a curated record.
AACACGGAGCGCUUGGAAGACCACGAUGUCAUCUUCCUUCUGUCAGGUAAGUAGUUUAUUGUUUUUAAAGAUCGUUACGAUCUAGGUUUACAGUCCGAGUGCGGAGAGACUCCGUCAAUCCACACUAUGGACGCUGUUCAUCAGCUAAUACGCCAUUGUUAGCCACAUGCUUCAGCCCACGGUAGCCUGUGCUACCUGGGAGGUGAAUACAUGGUUGUUGAAACCAGUUCAAGACGCUUAGCUCAUCAUUGAGGGACGCUACAAUAUAAAUAUAAACAUGAAUUUGAUUUAUGAAUGCUUUAGAUUAAUAAGGAGUGUAUUUGUCUACCAUUACUCCACAAUAUCAGAUCAAUUUGGUUUAAUGUAUAGUAUGCAAUAUGACAAUGUUUUCAUGUUAUGGAGUUGCGAUUCAUUUUAUAAAACAAUUGCUAUGUUCUGUUUUUUAAUCAAGCAGGAUCAAAGUGAAGCUACAGGAGUUUCAUUAACGUCAAUAACUUGGACCGAACAGUUUGUUUUGCUUGAUGAAGAGCAGGAAGGGCAGCCUGGAGAGAAAGAGAAGCCGGGUUGAGCCCACUACCAUCAUCCACGUACCACGAGGAAGAUGAGGGAGAGAAAUGAUCCUACCAUUAAAGAGACUGUGAAAAGAACGUUGAGAACAUCACCACUCUACAGGAAGACACAGUCCAGUAAUGGGUGUCAGAAGUUCAGUAGUGAACAACAGAAACAAACAAUCAAAAUUACCUGCAGAAAGCCCUUGAUGGACGCUUCAGCUGCAUCGUCAGACUGGUGAGACCGCAAGAUGCCAACUUUAAUGCCAAUUUAUUUGUGUAACAUUCUGUGACCAAAUGUAUAGAUAACUUUUUGUAGAUUGUAAAAAUAGAUAACCCAUUUAUUACAAAAAACUACACUAGAAUUACCGCACUGCGUUGUAUGACUCCGCUAACCAGAGCAGUGUCCGUCUACAUAUUUCUACAUAUUUUCUCUCAUAUAAAUGACACUGUAUCUCUUGACAACUGAAACCAUAAGAUGAGGUCAGUGUGGCCUUGACCUUUUUACUUUAAGACAAAUACAAAGUUAGACAAUCCAAAAACAUGCAGUUAUGCCUCCGGCGACUCGCUAUUGCAGAGGCAUUAAAACCGUAGUGUAGUAGAUUGGAUUUUAUUGGUGUUACAUUGGACAUCUUGUAUGGGUACACCAAAAAAUAUAUUUGGUUUCACAUUCUAGAUGGCAAUAAGCAGAGUCAUCAACUCAGGAAAAAUAUUUCUGUAGAAAAGAAAGCCUUGUAUGUGUGUAUGUAUACAUACACACAAACGCACAAUUGAGACGUUUUUGUCUUUUAUCAUAUAUUCUCAGGCAGUACUGAUGCAUUUACUGAGAGGGGACGUGAGGGCCUAC